UACGGAGGGAGCUAGCGUUGUUCGGAAUUACUGGGCGUAAAACGCGCGUAGGCGGCUGCUCAAGUCAGAGGUGAAAGCCCGGGGCUCAACCCCGGAACUGCCUUUGAAACUAGGUAGCUAGAAUCUUGGAGAGGUCAGUGGAAUUCCGAGUGUAGAGGUGAAAUUCGUAGAUAUUCGGAAGAACACCAGUGGCGAAGGCGACUCGCUGGACAAGUAUUGACGCUGAGGUGCGAAAGCGUGGGGAGCAAACAGG
This 253-nucleotide ribosomal RNA is filed under the name uncultured bacterium. RNAcentral's name for it is "partial 16S ribosomal RNA". It matches the Rfam family "Bacterial small subunit ribosomal RNA", at positions 524 to 776 of the family's 1533-position model. The record is from RNAcentral.